UGCAUCGGCCGGGAAUCGAACCCGGGCUGCCCACGUGGCAGGCGAGCAUUCUACCACUGAACCACCGAUGG
This 71-nucleotide transfer RNA is filed under the name Cordylochernes scorpioides. Its description in RNAcentral is "tRNA-Gly". Lineage: Eukaryota; Metazoa; Arthropoda; Arachnida; Pseudoscorpiones; Chernetidae. The record is from RNAcentral.